CUGUAUGCUUUCAAACGGGCUA
This 22-nucleotide non-coding RNA is filed under the name Rattus norvegicus (Norway rat). Lineage: Eukaryota; Metazoa; Chordata; Mammalia; Rodentia; Muridae. The record is from RNAcentral.